ACACAUGCAAGUCGAGGGGGAAGCCACUUUCGGGUGGUGGAGACCGGCGCACGGGUGAGUAACGCGUGGGAAUUUACCUUGGAGUGGGGAAUAACCGCUGGAAACGGCGGCUAAUACCGCAUACGCCCUUAUGGGGAAAGCUUUAGCGCUCUGGGAUGAGCCCGCGUUAGAUUAGGUAGUUGGUGGGGUAAAGGCCUACCAAGCCGACGAUCUAUAGCUGGUCUGAGAGGAUGAUCAGCCACACUGGGACUGAGACACGGCCCAGACUCCUACGGGAGGCAGCAGUGGGAAUAUUGGACAAUGGGGGCAACCCUGAUCCAGCCAUGCCGCGUGCGUGAAGAAGGCCUUAGGGUUGUAAAGCGCUUUCACUGGUGAAGAUGAUGACGGUAGCCAGAGAAGAAGCCCCGGCUAACUCCGUGCCAGCAGCCGCGGUAAUACGGAGGGGGCAAGCGUUGUUCGGAAUUACUGGGCGUAAAGGGCGCGUAGGCGGGAUGUCAAGUUAGGGGUGAAGGGCCUGNGCUCAACCUAGGAACUGCCUCUAAAACUGGCAAUCU
RNAcentral lists this ribosomal RNA (554 nucleotides) under uncultured bacterium. Its description in RNAcentral is "bacterial SSU rRNA". It matches the Rfam family "Bacterial small subunit ribosomal RNA", at positions 51 to 642 of the family's 1533-position model. The record is from RNAcentral.